This 206-nucleotide ribosomal RNA is filed under the name uncultured bacterium. RNAcentral's name for it is "partial 16S ribosomal RNA". It matches the Rfam family "Bacterial small subunit ribosomal RNA", at positions 568 to 774 of the family's 1533-position model. The record is from RNAcentral.
UGCGUAGGUGGUUUCUUAAGUCAGAGGUGAAAGGCUACGGCUCAACCGUAGUAAGCCUUUGAAACUGGGAAACUUGAGUGCAGGAGAGGAGAGUGGAAUUCCUAGUGUAGCGGUGAAAUGCGUAGAUAUUAGGAGGAACACCAGUUGCGAAGGCGGCUCUCUGGACGACAACUGACGCUGAGGCGCGAAAGUGUGGGGAGCAAACA